Molecule: transfer RNA, 72 nt
Filed under: Microcaldota archaeon
Lineage: Archaea; Nanobdellati; Microcaldota
Description: tRNA-Gln
Rfam family: tRNA
About the family: Transfer RNA (tRNA) molecules are approximately 80 nucleotides in length. Their secondary structure includes four short double-helical elements and three loops (D, anti-codon, and T loops). Further hydrogen bonds mediate the characteristic L-shaped molecular structure. tRNAs have two regions of fundamental functional importance: the anti-codon, which is responsible for specific mRNA codon recognition, and the 3' end, to which the tRNAs corresponding amino acid is attached (by aminoacyl-tRNA synthetases). tRNAs cope with the degeneracy of the genetic code in two manners: having more than one tRNA (with a specific anti-codon) for a particular amino acid; and 'wobble' base-pairing, i.e. permitting non-standard base-pairing at the 3rd anti-codon position.
Source: RNAcentral
AGCCCCAUGGUGUAGUGGCAAGCACGGCGGGCUUUGGACCCGCAAACAUCGGUUCGAAUCCGGUUGGGGCUA